RNAcentral lists this ribosomal RNA (468 nucleotides) under uncultured bacterium. RNAcentral describes it as "partial 16S ribosomal RNA". It matches the Rfam family "Bacterial small subunit ribosomal RNA", at positions 28 to 507 of the family's 1533-position model. The record is from RNAcentral.
GACGAACGCUGGCGGCGUGCUUAACACAUGCAAGUCGAACGGAAAGGCCCUGCUUUUGUGGUGUGCUCGAGUGGCGAACGGGUGAGUAACACGUGAGUAACCUGCCCUUGACUUUGGGAUAACUUCAGGAAACUGGGGCUAAUACCGUAUAGGAGCUCCUGCUGCAUGGUGGGGGUUGGAAAGUUUCGGCGGUUGGGGAUGGACUCGCGGCUUAUCAGCUUGUUGGUGGGGUAGUGGCUUACCAAGGCUUUGACGGGUAGCCGGCCUGAGAGGGUGACCGGCAACAUUGGGACUGAGAUACGGCCCAGACUCCUACGGGAGGAAGCAGUGGGGAAUAUUGCCCAAUGGGCGGAAGCCUGAUGAAGCAACGCCGCGUGCGGGAUGACGGCCUUCGGGUUGUAACCCGCUUUCGCCUGUGACGAAGCGUGAGUGACGGUAAUGGGUAAAGAAGCACCGGCUAACUACGUG